CUAGCGACUUCUAGAGUUUGUAUCCUGGCUCAGGAUUAACGCUGGCGGCGUGCAUAACACAUUCAAGUCGAACGGAAUGCGGGGCUUCGGUCUUGCAUUUAGUGGCGGACGGGUGAGUAACGCGUGAGCAAUCUGCCCUUGGGUACGGAAUAACAACCGGAAACAGUUGCUAAUACCGUAUGAAAUGGCAAUGUCGCAUGACAUAACCAUCAAAGAUUCAUCGCCCAAGGAUGAGCUUGCGUCCGAUUAGAUAGUUGGUGAGGUAACGGCUCACCAAGUCGACGAUCGGUAGCCGGACUGAGAGGUUGAACGGCCACAUUGGAACUGAGAUACGGUCCAG
Molecule: ribosomal RNA, 340 nt
Filed under: uncultured bacterium
Lineage: Bacteria
Description: bacterial SSU rRNA
Rfam family: Bacterial small subunit ribosomal RNA
Source: RNAcentral